AAGUAAAUGAGAAAAUUCAAGAUAAAAUAAAUGAUUGAAGAAAAAUAGAUUGACAAUAUGCUAGAGUUCAACCUUUACCAAUAACACUCCUACGUAGCUCUUCCAAUUGCUUAAAUAAUUGAAAACACACAUGCUUUGAAGGUUGGAUUUUCCUUGUGUAUGUUUUACUUGUGACAUUCAAGCUAAAACGCAUACCACUACAUGCAAUUUAUCCAUGACAUUUGGAUUAAAUAUAAACAUGAAUGAUUCAUUAAUCUUGAUGAAAAUCCUUUUGUUAAACCAUGUAAUCCCUAAGAGUAUGAUAUUUACCUUAGGAGAAAUUACAAUCCUCAAUCACAAGAAGCAUAACCAAUUUUAACGUGACAUUCGUUCAAAAUUGCAUCUAAUGACUUUUCUAAACAUCCUAAUGGUGAUCAAGCAUCAAGACACAUAGAUAGUUUAAUUUAGAGAUUGAAAAUAUCAAAGCAAGCAUUUAACAACACUUAAGCAAUUGAAAGAGAAAUCUACAUAAUCAUGUUGCGGCUUAUGGCCUCACUCUAGCAAAAUAAAUUAGUUACACAUAAUUAUUUGAAUACAUAA
RNAcentral lists this long non-coding RNA (579 nucleotides) under Malus domestica (apple). Its description in RNAcentral is "long non-coding RNA (MDOM_LNC000494)". Lineage: Eukaryota; Viridiplantae; Streptophyta; Magnoliopsida; Rosales; Rosaceae. The record is from RNAcentral.